RNAcentral lists this microRNA precursor (106 nucleotides) under Marmota monax (woodchuck). Lineage: Eukaryota; Metazoa; Chordata; Mammalia; Rodentia; Sciuridae. The record is from RNAcentral.
AUAUGUAUUAUUUCAUGGACCUUGUUAAAAUGCAGAUUCUGAUUCAGAAGGUCUGGGAUGGAACCUGAGAUUCUUCAUUUUUAACAAAUUCCCAGGUGAUGCUAUU